AUUUGUAUCCUGGUCUGCUACCCCGUCUUCAAACCCAUUGUUCACCACC
RNAcentral lists this transfer RNA (49 nucleotides) under Cryptomonas paramaecium. Its description in RNAcentral is "Cryptomonas paramecium partial Selenocysteine transfer RNA". The record is from RNAcentral. Lineage: Eukaryota; Cryptophyceae; Cryptomonadales; Cryptomonadaceae.